GGGCUGGCUUUAGCCCAACACUCCUUCGAGUCUGGUUUCCCAACCGCCUGGACUGGGCUAAUUAGUCCGGUGGUUCGAGACCCACGGGUGCUCUCCAGUUCUUUU
Unclassified non-coding RNA from Cavia porcellus (domestic guinea pig), 105 nucleotides. Its record names the gene Vault. It matches the Rfam family "Vault RNA". Rfam says of the family: This family of RNAs are found as part of the enigmatic vault ribonucleoprotein complex. Lineage: Eukaryota; Metazoa; Chordata; Mammalia; Rodentia; Caviidae. The record is from Ensembl.